Molecule: ribosomal RNA, 216 nt
Filed under: Glomeromycotina sp.
Lineage: Eukaryota; Fungi; Glomeromycota
Description: partial small subunit ribosomal RNA
Rfam family: Eukaryotic small subunit ribosomal RNA (bases 40-216)
Source: RNAcentral
GGGUCAGUAGGUUGGUCGUGCCACCGGUACGUACUGGUCUCACUGAUUCCUCCUUCCUGAAGAACCGUAAUGCCAUUAAUUUGAUGUUGCGGGGAAACAGGACUGUUACUUUGAAAAAAUUAGAGUGUUUAAAGCAAGCUAACGCUUGAAUACAUUAGCAUGGAAUAAUGAAAUAGGACGAUCGAUCCUAUUUUGUUGGUUCCUAGGAUUGACGUA